CCUUGCAUUACUUCUCUUCAGCAAUAUAAGUUUACAUAUAAAACAUGGUACCACUUCAUGAGACCAAACAAAAAAUAAGCAGUUUGUGCUAACAAAUCAGCCAACACACUCCUCUAUAAUAGUGGUAUGAAAGAAAGAUUUUUUUGGAGGACCAUGAAUUGCAUCCACCACUGAUUUUGCAUCCAGCUCAAAUAUGCAGCGAUUUGUUCUCCAUUUUU
RNAcentral lists this long non-coding RNA (218 nucleotides) under Daucus carota (carrot). RNAcentral's name for it is "long non-coding RNA (DCAR_LNC004280)". Lineage: Eukaryota; Viridiplantae; Streptophyta; Magnoliopsida; Apiales; Apiaceae. The record is from RNAcentral.